GCCCUGGUGGUGUAGUCGGUUGCCACAAUUGUCAAGAAAAGCAAGAGUUGCGGGUUUGAUGCCCGCACAUGGCA
Non-coding RNA from Ostertagia ostertagi, 74 nucleotides. Lineage: Eukaryota; Metazoa; Nematoda; Chromadorea; Rhabditida; Trichostrongylidae. The record is from the annotation of a GenBank genome assembly.